AGUGAACGCUGGCGGUAGGCCUAACACAUGCCAGUCGAACGGCAGCACAGUAAGAGCUUGCUCUUACGGGUGGCGAGUGGCGGACGGGUGAGGAAUACAUCGGAAUCUACUUUUUCGUGGGGGAUAACGUAGGGAAACUUACGCUAAUACCGCAUACGACCUACGGGUGAGAGCAGGGGAUCUUCGGACCUUGCGCGAUUGAAUGAGCCGAUGUCGGAUUAGCUAGUUGGCGGGGUAAAGGCCCACCAAGGCGACGAUCCGUAGCUGGUCUGAGAGGAUGAUCAGCCACACUGGAACUGAGACACGGUCCAGACUCCUACGGGAGGCAGCAGUGGGGAAUAUUGGACAAUGGGCGCAAGCCUGAUCCAGCCAUACCGCGUGGGUGAAGAAGGCCUUCGGGUUGUAAAGCCCUUUUGUUGGGAAAGGAAAGCAGCAGGUUAAUACCCCGCUGUUCUGACGGUACCCAAAGAAUAAGCACCGGCUAACUUCGUG
RNAcentral lists this ribosomal RNA (492 nucleotides) under uncultured bacterium. Its description in RNAcentral is "partial 16S ribosomal RNA". It matches the Rfam family "Bacterial small subunit ribosomal RNA", at positions 29 to 507 of the family's 1533-position model. The record is from RNAcentral.